GCUUAAAGGAGAUGAACAUUAGAACGUCCUCUUUGGAUCUUCGGUGAGUUCCUCAGUCCUCAUUCAGCUGGGCUGAAGUGUGCUGCGUCGCUUCAUCUUCAACCAGUGAACAUGACAGGACCACUGCCCGGAACCCACUCUUUGUGCGAGUGGAGCGGAACAUCUAAAACGGAAGGAGAAACUUCCACUUCAACGCAGACCGAUCGGAAUCGGUCAAACGGGUGAACUGCUCAGUCUGCAGCAAAAGGAAAAUAUAAAGUGGAACGACGCAGUGACACGCUUACCAGGAUUGACAGUGAUAAUGGUUUUGGAGUUGACUGUUGCGGUCAUUCCAUUGCGGAAGCUGUCAAAGGUAAUCUUUGCAUCCGCUAUGAAGAUCACUUGGAACGAGGAAUCGAGUCAAAACACGCUGGUGUUGGUCUUCCUACUUCCUGAUCUCCAACCUGUGGGCUGAAUGGAAGUUUUUGUUUGCCUGGAUUGAUUUCCUCUGGGUCCUGGUCCUUGCAAAUGAACAGAUUCCUGCCAUCCACAACACUUACAGUCAUUUCAAGAAUGCUGACCAAUCACACACUUUCAAUGUGAAAGGAGCCAGAAUAUCUUCACGGAGGAGCAACACAGAGAGCAAAGUGACUUCAUGUCAGGCGGCCCGGCUACUCCUCAAAACCGCCGCGACUUUUGCCAAGCCACCACCGCAAGGAAUGCGGCCUGCAGCUGAGCCAGAAAGCGCCACUCAUGCAACCCGACGUUCACAUUCAAUCACAUAAACAUGGGCGG
Molecule: long non-coding RNA, 774 nt
Organism: Syngnathus typhle (broad-nosed pipefish)
Lineage: Eukaryota; Metazoa; Chordata; Actinopteri; Syngnathiformes; Syngnathidae
Exons: 6
Source: RefSeq, a predicted model, not a curated record